Molecule: microRNA precursor, 92 nt
Organism: Pan paniscus (pygmy chimpanzee)
Lineage: Eukaryota; Metazoa; Chordata; Mammalia; Primates; Hominidae
Source: Ensembl
AGGCAGGAGAAUUGCUUGAACCCAGGAGGCGGAGGUUGCAGUGAGCCGAGAUCGAGCCACUGUACUCCAGCCUGGGUGACAGAGCGAGACUC